GGUCACUCUCAUCGACACGUCUCCUGACGUAGGCCAAAUGGGCCACACUCAUUGACACGUCUCCGAGCGUAGGCCAAACGGGUCACUCUCAUUGACACGUCUCCAGACGUAGGCCAAACGGGUCACACUCAUCGAUAUAUCUCCGGACGUAGGCCAAACGGGCCACUAACAUAGACACGUCUCCGGACGUAGGCCAAACGGGUCACAUAUAUCGACACGUAUCUGGACGUAAGCCAAACGGGCCAUUCUCAUCGACACGUCUCC
This 264-nucleotide long non-coding RNA is filed under the name Prunus persica (peach). Its description in RNAcentral is "long non-coding RNA (PPER_LNC000474)". The record is from RNAcentral. Lineage: Eukaryota; Viridiplantae; Streptophyta; Magnoliopsida; Rosales; Rosaceae.